RNAcentral lists this unclassified non-coding RNA (381 nucleotides) under soil metagenome. RNAcentral describes it as "partial contains 5.8S ribosomal RNA, internal transcribed spacer 2, and large subunit ribosomal RNA". The stretch from base 1 to 120 matches the Rfam family "5.8S ribosomal RNA", at positions 35 to 154 of the family's 154-position model. The record is from RNAcentral.
GAUGAAGAACGCAGCGAAAUGCGAUAAGUAAUGUGAAUUGCAGAAUUCAGUGAAUCAUCGAAUCUUUGAACGCACCUUGCACCCUUUGGCAUUCCGAAGGGUAUGCUCGUUUGAGUGUCAUUGUACUCUCACACUCCCACUCUUUUGGAUUGGGAGCGGUGGACUUGGGUGUUGCUGCUUCACUGUGGCUCGCCUCAAAUGGAGUAGUGCAACUCUCGGUUGGACAUAGUACGGCGUGAUAAGUGUCUUCGCCGGCGCCUCACUAGAGGGUGGCCGAUCGGGAGCUCUGUGCUUCAAACCGUCUUCGGACAAUCUCUGACACCUUGACCUCAAAUCGAGUAGGACUACCCGCUGAACUUAAGCAUAUCAAUAAGCGGAGGA